Macrostomum lignano is the source of this 47-nucleotide non-coding RNA. The record is from Rfam. NCBI's taxonomy places the organism in Eukaryota, Metazoa, Platyhelminthes, Macrostomidae.
AAAACGGCCCUUUUAAGGGCCAUUGCUUCAUCAUUUGAUCUUAGUAU